This 113-nucleotide ribosomal RNA is filed under the name Candidatus Woesearchaeota archaeon. Lineage: Archaea; Nanobdellati; Candidatus Woesearchaeota. The record is from RNAcentral.
UAGGACGGUCAGAGGAGCCGGGUUCCACCUGGUCUCAUUCGAACCCAGCAGUUAAGCCGGCUUCCGUAUUCAGGUGUACUUCGUUCCGAGGGAAACUGAGUAAGCUGUCCACC